This 76-nucleotide transfer RNA is filed under the name Desulfovibrio sp. RNAcentral describes it as "tRNA-His". It matches the Rfam family "tRNA". Rfam says of the family: Transfer RNA (tRNA) molecules are approximately 80 nucleotides in length. Their secondary structure includes four short double-helical elements and three loops (D, anti-codon, and T loops). Further hydrogen bonds mediate the characteristic L-shaped molecular structure. tRNAs have two regions of fundamental functional importance: the anti-codon, which is responsible for specific mRNA codon recognition, and the 3' end, to which the tRNAs corresponding amino acid is attached (by aminoacyl-tRNA synthetases). tRNAs cope with the degeneracy of the genetic code in two manners: having more than one tRNA (with a specific anti-codon) for a particular amino acid; and 'wobble' base-pairing, i.e. permitting non-standard base-pairing at the 3rd anti-codon position. The record is from RNAcentral. RNAcentral also lists the same sequence under 1 other name. Lineage: Bacteria; Pseudomonadati; Thermodesulfobacteriota; Desulfovibrionia; Desulfovibrionales; Desulfovibrionaceae.
GUGAGUGUAGCUCAGUUGGUAGAGUCCCAGAUUGUGGCUCUGGUUGCCGUGGGUUCAAGUCCCAUCACUCACCCCA